AGCUGGCCCCACCACCUUUCCCCUCUCUCCUUCGGUAACCCCACACCGUUUUCCACCCUCUCUCUCUUCACCGCCUUUGUUGGCGGCACAAUCCCGAUCGGGAUUUCGACUCACCGAAGGGGUUGCCCGAAGGCACCCCGUACCCCCUUAAUCUAAUCACUGAAACCCCAUAAUUACUCUGUUCCCCUAAUUCAAUUAUAGCAUCCAUUUAAAGCAGAACAGACCCACCCAUCUAGCCUCCUCCUAGACUCCCCUUAUUGUUCCUCAUAAUUCACACAUUUAUACACCUUCGAUUCCUGUGCAUCAUCACCCCUUUUGUGUACAAUUGCUUUUCUUCUGCUACUCUAUAACCAACCUUAGCCUUGCUAUAAAACACAAUGGAAAACAGAGCACUCUGUUUCAGGCUUCUUAACUUCUUCUUCCUUUUUCCUCAAUUGUUCAUUAUCAAUUACCAAUUUGGAGUCUUUCUCGUUGAAAUCUAAUUGGGUUUUGUUAAUUGUCAACAUAUCUUCUGAAUUUUCACUUCAAUUUAUCUUCAUUAUUGCCUCAUCUUCAUAAUCUUUCACAUGUGCCCUGUUUUUUCUCACUUUCAAGUUUCAAGCUGUUUAUUCCCAAUUUGGUGAAAUAUCUAUUCACAUUUCAAAAUUGGUUCUUUAUAUAGAUUCUAUACUAUCUUUCCACCAUUAAAAGCCCAAACUUUCAUGACAAUUGUUGUGUAUUGAUUUCUAAUUGUCAAGAUCUUUAGUGUGAGUGAAACUGUGAAACAGAGGAAUUGUGAUGGAUUUGAGGUGUAGAAUUGAUGGGUAUUUUGUUGUUGUGGGUUUGAUGAUGGGUUGUUUGAUUGGAACUUGUGUUAAUGGAGAUAGUAAUGGAGAUUCAGUUGGAGCUCCAAUGGUGAAAACAGAGCAAGAUGCUUUAUACUCUGCUAUUCAAGGAUUUGUGGGUAAUUGGUGGAAUGGGUCGGAUCUUUAUCCUGAUCCUUGUGGUUGGACACCCAUUCAGGGUGUUUCAUGUGAUGUUUUUGAUGGAUUCUGGUACGUUACAGACCUAAGCAUCGGUCAAAUUUAUGAUAAUUCUCUUCCAUGUGCUCCAAAUCUUGAAUUUAGACCCCAAUUUUUCCAACUUAAACGUUUGAAAUCCUUAACAUUCUCCAACUGUAUCAUCUCACAAAAUCAAGCCACAGUUUCGCUUCAAACCGCCGAUUGGGACUCGUUUUCAAGCACUUUAGAGUCGUUAGAGUUUCGUGCAAACCCUGGUUUGUCGGGUCAAGUCCCAACCGCCUUUGGCAGCCUCAAGAACCUUCAAUCCCUUGUGUUGAUCGAUAAUCGGUUAUCCGGGAGUUUGCCGGUCAGCAUUGGGAAUUUGACUUGUUUGAAGAGGUUGGUUAUGUCUGGUAAUUUGUUUACAGGGAAAAUACCAGAAAAUUAUGGGUAUUUGAGUGGUUUGUUGAUCAUGGAUUUGAGUAGAAACUUAUUGUCUGGAAAUGUACCUUUGACUUUUGGAGGGUUGACUUCUAUCUUGAAGUUUGACUUGAGUAAGAACCAAUUAGAAGGUGUGAUCCCAAGUGAGAUUAGUAAUUUGAAGAGUUUAACACUUUUGGAUCUUAGCAACAAUAAUAUUUCUGGUGGGUUGAAUUUUUCAAUUCAAGAAAUGAGUUCAUUAGAAGAGUUGGUUUUGUCAAACAAUCCUAUAAAUGGUGAUCUAGUUGACUUUAAUUGGCAAAAUGUUUACAAGCUCAUGGUUUUGGAUCUUUCAAACACGGGUUUGACCGGUGUGGUUCCCGAAUCGGUUUCAAAUCUGAAAAACCUGCGGUUUUUGGGUUUAAACGACAAUAAAUUGUCGGGGAGUCUCUCACCGAAGCUAGCGGAAUUGGGGAAUUUGACGGCGCUUUACGUCCAUGGAAAUAACCUCACCGGUGACCUCAAGUUUCCUCGAGAGUUUUACCAAAAAAUGGGAAGGCGUUUCGGGGCGUGGAAUAACUCAAAUUUGUGUUUCCCUAUUUCUAAAGUGUCGUCACGUGUUCGCCCGUUUGGAGUGAAGUUAUGUCGCGAACGGCAGUUGUGAUUCCAUUCCCGAGUUCAGUACCCGGGAAUGGAAUCACGCUGUUUGUUUUGGAUGAAAUAGUCUUUAGGAGGGACUGCAAGCUGCAUGUUGGUUGUUGAAGAUGGCUGACGGUGGUCUGGUCUGGUCCCAACCAUGGACCACUGGGUUAAGUUUUCAGAAAACCAGGGUACAAAUUGGUGUGGACCUUGUGUGGCAUUGGGGUGGGGGCUGGUUUGUUAUAGUGAACCAAGUGGCUUGCAAUCUUUUGCCAUUUUCAAUAGGAUAUUAGCACUGUCAUGUGUUACAUGUGUGUAUAUCCAUGUAGUACUAUUUAGAUUUUAUUUGUAAGGGCAUGUUUUUUUUUGUCA
RNA transcript from Helianthus annuus (common sunflower), 2411 nucleotides. It is a transcript of the gene named piriformospora indica-insensitive protein 2, with no coding region annotated. Lineage: Eukaryota; Viridiplantae; Streptophyta; Magnoliopsida; Asterales; Asteraceae. The record is from RefSeq and is a predicted model, not a curated record. The transcript has 3 exons.